CGAUUUAAAUGCAAACCAAUAAUCCUUUUCUGCCGCUAAGUCUACUUUACUUUACCUUUCUCGCUGUCGUUGAGGGGCUAAUGCAUCUUACUGUUGUUUGUUUAAGCAUGAGUUAUUGAAAUGUACAUCCCCUCUGACUACAGCGUGGUGCACAAUGCAGUUGUUUAAAGCUGUAUACUCACAUGCUGUCUGUAGAGUGAGACUUCCACAAAGGCAAACCUGAGGACACCUAAAAGAUGCAUGAUGGGAAACGCAAUGAGCUGCUUGUCAGGGGAGAGACAAUUCACAGGAGAGGGCCUAUGAAAGCUAUAUACAUUCCCAAUUUACUCCCAUCUCUGCGGUUUUUAAGCUCUUCCAGGCCACAAGCCAAUAAUGUGAGGUUGGAUUCCCGACCCCGAGCGACCGGUGCACCCGACUUCUCUCUUCUGAUCCCAAAAGUUUGAAUUCCAGGAGCUGCCUUCCUUCUCCUGUCCGUCUUACAGGAGCGCGUCCCUCACGGAGUGGAUCCGUCAAACCAAAGUGAAGAGACGAGCGCGACGAGCAAACAAGCCCAGAAACAACAACAGCGGCGGCCCACGGGCGCAUUCAAGUUUGUCCUUGAAUUUCCACACCUGUGAGCGCCGAACGCGACCGGGGCCAUUUUGCGAAAUUGGAGGGAAACGCGCCGCAUGUUUGUCCAGCAUCAACUCGCCAGCGUGUUUAUUCCCCUCGUUUUUUGUUUUUUGUUUUUUUCACCAUUGUUUGCCUUUUUUCUUUGUGGCGCCGAAAUGCUCAAAUUGCAUUUCUCAGAUGUUGGUUCCCUGGAGGUGUGCGCUCGUCGGCAGGUGUCUGCAGGAAAAAGCGAAAAAAUGGAAGGGCGAGAGGAAGAGGCGCUGGAAGACGGAUAAAGAGAAAAGAGAAGGGGAAAAAAAGGAGGAUUGAAAGAGAGGAGCAGGAGACGUCUCCCACUCACUCUCCGGCUCGCAGCUGAAUUCACGCCAAAAUGCUUCAUCUGCUAUAUGUGCUCUUUAGCAAUGUAAAUGCAUGCGGAUGAACUCGGAUCCUGCAAGAAUAUAUGGCACACGUUUCUCACACCGUGAAAACUUUUUCACAAUUACUUGUUUGGCAGAAGAUGACAAACUAUCCGAAGCUCCUGUGAGCAACAUCCAAGUUACGGAAGUUUAGAACAAACAAGCGUUUUAUUUAUUUAUUUCUCCCCGAGGUGAGCGCCGACGAGCUAAAUCCCGCUAAAAAGCGUGAAACGCGCUGCUGUUUCCCCGCAAUAGUAAUUCCGUUUUCCUUAUUUUAUUUCCAAAUCAAUUAACUAACCUUGAGAUGAGCUUUGCUGUUGAUAAGUGCUGUACAGUGCAGCCCCCCCCCCCCCCCCCCUCUACUUUGAACGAGGCUUCCACUUCAGGCAGCAUAUAAUAGAUAUUGAACUGUAAAUUUGAAUUAAAAGCUCGGGUCAUUGUGCCUCAUUGACUUUCGACCACAAAAACCAAAUGAUGUCUUAGUUGAGAGAAAUAUAUCAAAGGAUAUCAACAAUUACGAGUCAUAAACACGCCUGGAGACGCGCCUGGCGGGCGUAAAGCAGCGGGAAUUAGCAUGUUGAGCUGAUAAAUAUGCAUGUAAAGACGCUCCCAGGGGAAUAACACGCGUGUGAUUGAUAGCUUUGGAAUUGAAGGAUGUGUAAAUUCCUUUUAUUCUGGGGGGUUGUGCUGUUGUAGCGCCGAAAUACAGAGCACUUGUUAAAAGUUUUACCAACUUUAUAAUCCUUAAUGCCACAUCUGUUUGCUGUCUUUAUAGCGCCUGUAAAACGUCAUUAUAUUAUUACCACCAGCUGGCCUCAUUGCACAAUAACCUCACUUAUCUGUUAUUCUGUGGGAAUACUUUUGAUUUA
This is a long non-coding RNA of Gasterosteus aculeatus aculeatus (three-spined stickleback), 1879 nucleotides long. The record is from Ensembl. NCBI's taxonomy places the organism in Eukaryota, Metazoa, Chordata, Actinopteri, Perciformes, Gasterosteidae.